Molecule: ribosomal RNA, 622 nt
Filed under: uncultured bacterium
Lineage: Bacteria
Description: bacterial SSU rRNA
Rfam family: Bacterial small subunit ribosomal RNA
Source: RNAcentral
CCUACGGGAGGCAGCAGUGGGGAAUUUUGGACAAUGGGCGCAAGCCUGAUCCAGCCAUGCCGCGUGUGGGAAGAAGGCCUUCGGGUUGUAAACCACUUUUGUCAGGGAAGAAACGGUUUGUCCUAAUACGGCGGACUAAUGACGGUACCUGAAGAAUAAGCACCGGCUAACUACGUGCCAGCAGCCGCGGUAAUACGUAGGGUGCAAGCGUUAAUCGGAAUUACUGGGCGUAAAGCGUGCGCAGGCGGCUUUGCAAGACAGAUGUGAAAUCCCCGGGCUCAACCUGGGAACUGCAUUUGUGACUGCAUGGCUAGAGUACGGUAGAGGGGGAUGGAAUUCCGCGUGUAGCAGUGAAAUGCGUAGAUAUGCGGAGGAACACCGAUGGCGAAGGCAAUCCCCUGGACCUGUACUGACGCUCAUGCACGAAAGCGUGGGGAGCAAACAGGAUUAGAUACCCUGGUAGUCCACGCCCUAAACGAUGUCAACUGGUUGUUGGACGGCUUGCUGUUCAGUAACGAAGCUAACGCGUGAAGUUGACCGCCUGGGGAUACGGCCGCAAGGUUGAAACUCAAAGAGUAGUAGGACGNGAGAGAGACGACGACGACGACGAGGAGGGAGGAGG